AGUGAACGCUGGCGGUAGGCCUAACACAUGCAAGUCGAACGGCAGCACAGUAAGAGCUUGCUCUUACGGGUGGCGAGUGGCGGACGGGUGAGGAAUACAUCGGAAUCUACUUUUUCGUGGGGGAUAACGUAGGGAACCUUACGCUAAUCCCGAAUACGACCUACGGGUGAAAGCAGGGGAUCUUCGAACCUUGGGCGAUUGAAGAAGCCGAUGUCGGAUUAGCUAGUUGGCGGGGUAAAGGCCCACCAAGGCGACGAUCCGUAGCUGGUCUGAGAGGAUGAUCAGCCACACUGGAACUGAGACACGGUCCAGACUCCUACGGGAGGCAGCAGUGGGGAAUAUUGGACAAUGGGCGCAAGCCUGAUCCAGCCAUACCGCGUGGGUGAAGAAGGCCUUCGGGUUGUAAAGCCCUUUUGUUGGGAAAGAAAAGCAGCAGGUUAAUACCCCGCUGUUCUGACGGUACCCAAAGAAUAAGCACCGGCUAACUUCGUG
RNAcentral lists this ribosomal RNA (492 nucleotides) under uncultured bacterium. RNAcentral describes it as "partial 16S ribosomal RNA". It matches the Rfam family "Bacterial small subunit ribosomal RNA", at positions 29 to 507 of the family's 1533-position model. The record is from RNAcentral.